GGGUCAGUGGGGUUAAUGGUUUGAGUGUUGGACUACGACUCUGGAGACCAGGGUUCGAUUCCCAGCUUGCCCA
Molecule: non-coding RNA, 73 nt
Organism: Phrynosoma platyrhinos (Desert horned lizard)
Lineage: Eukaryota; Metazoa; Chordata; Lepidosauria; Squamata; Phrynosomatidae
Source: the annotation of a GenBank genome assembly